GGGACGGCGGCGCAGGUGUUCAUAGAUCAAACAAUGGCGGCGGCGGGCUAAUGUGUGGAAGUUGGAAAGGUAAAUGGCAACGGUAAAAUGGAAGGGAUAACUUCCUCCAUUGUUUAUCAUAAUGGUGCGGUACAAACGAUGCAAAUAAAGGGAUUUUUUUAUUUAAAGGAUCCUCAGAAUUUCGGCCACCUGAUUGGUGGUUACCUUUAUUUUAAGAGGAGAUAAGAUCUCCUUCCAGAGAUAAUCAUGUUGACCAAAGGUUGACCCUUAUACCUACCAAACUAGUCGACUAAAAGGCUCGGGGGCUGUGUGCCAC
This 316-nucleotide long non-coding RNA is filed under the name Setaria viridis. Its description in RNAcentral is "long non-coding RNA (SVIR_LNC002813)". Lineage: Eukaryota; Viridiplantae; Streptophyta; Magnoliopsida; Poales; Poaceae. The record is from RNAcentral.